Molecule: ribosomal RNA, 492 nt
Filed under: uncultured bacterium
Lineage: Bacteria
Description: partial 16S ribosomal RNA
Rfam family: Bacterial small subunit ribosomal RNA (bases 52-492)
Source: RNAcentral
GGGGGGGGGGGGGGGGGGGGGGGGGGGGGGGAGGGCGGGGGGCGGGGCCGUGAGGGGGGGCGCGUACGGGGGGGGCGGGGCGGACGGGUGCGGGAGAGGUCGGCAUCUACGUUUGCGGGGGGGGUGAGGUCGGGAGCCUUACGCUGAGACCGCCUGCGAGCUACGGGUGCACGCAGGGGAGGUUCGGACCUUGCGCCAUUGAAGGCGCCGAGGUCGGAGUAGCUAGCUGGCGGGGGAAAGGCCCACCAAGGCGACGCUCCGUAGCUGGACUGCGAGGAUGAUCAGCCACACUGGAACUGAGACACGGUACAGACUCCUACGGGAGGCAGCAGUGGGGAAUAUUGGACAAUGGGCGCAAGCCUGAUCCAGCCAUCCCGCGUGGGUGAAGAAGGCCUUCGGGUUGUAAAGCCCUUUUGUUGGGAAAGAAAAGCAGCAGGUUAAUACCCCGCUGUUCUGCCGGUACCCAAAGAAUAAGCACCGGCUAACUUCGUG